CCCUUAGAUGUUCUGGGCCGCACGCGCGCUACACUGACGAAUGCAACGAGCUUAUAACCUUAGCCGAAAGGUCUGGGUAAUCUCCAAAUUUCGUCGUGAUGGGGAUAGAUUAUUGCAAUUAUUAAUCUUCAACGAGGAAUGCCUAGUAAGCGCAAGUCAUCAGCUUGCGUUGAUUACGUCCCUGCCCUUUGUACACACCGCCCGUCGCUCCUACCGAUUGAAUGGUCCGGUGAAGCGCUCGGACCGCGGCCUCUUGACGGUUCGCUGUCGAUUGGCUGUGGGAAGUUCGUUAAACCUUAUCAUUUAGAGGAAGGAGAAGUCGUAACA
RNAcentral lists this ribosomal RNA (327 nucleotides) under uncultured eukaryote. RNAcentral describes it as "partial 18S ribosomal RNA". It matches the Rfam family "Eukaryotic small subunit ribosomal RNA", at positions 1470 to 1796 of the family's 1831-position model. The record is from RNAcentral.